RNAcentral lists this ribosomal RNA (560 nucleotides) under uncultured bacterium. RNAcentral's name for it is "bacterial SSU rRNA". It matches the Rfam family "Bacterial small subunit ribosomal RNA", at positions 338 to 916 of the family's 1533-position model. The record is from RNAcentral.
CCUACGGGAGGCAGCAGUGGGGAAUAUUGGACAAUGGGCGCAAGCCUGAUCCAGCCAUGCCGCGUGAGUGAUGAAGGCCUUAGGGUUGUAAAGCUCUUUUGCCAGGGAAGAUAAUGACUGUACCUGGAGAAUAAGCCCCGGCUAACUUCGUGCCAGCAGCCGCGGUAAUACGAAGGGGGCUAGCGUUGUUCGGAAUCACUGGGCGUAAAGCGCACGUAGGCGGACUUUUAAGUCAGGGGUGAAGGCCUGAGGCUCAACCUCAGAACUGCCCUUGAUACUGGGAGUCUUGAGUAUGGUAGAGGUUGGUGGAACAGCAAGUGUAGAGGUGAAAUUCGUAGAUAUUUGCUAGAACACCAGUGGCGAAGGCGGCCAACUGGACCAUAACUGACGCUGAGGUGCGAAAGCGUGGGGAGCAAACAGGAUUAGAUACCCUGGUAGUCCACGCCGUAAACGAUGGAUGCUAGCCGUUAGCCAGCUUGCUGGGUAGUGGCGCAGGUAACCCUUUAAGCAUCCCGCCUGGGGAGUACGGUCGCAAGAUUAAAACUCAAAUGAAUUGACGG